This 253-nucleotide ribosomal RNA is filed under the name uncultured bacterium. RNAcentral describes it as "partial 16S ribosomal RNA". It matches the Rfam family "Bacterial small subunit ribosomal RNA", at positions 524 to 776 of the family's 1533-position model. The record is from RNAcentral.
UACGUAGGGGGCGAGCGUUGUCCGGAUUUAUUGGGCGUAAAGAGCGUGUAGGCGGCCAGGUAGGUCUGCUGUGAAAACUCGAGGCUCAACCUCGAGACGUCGGCGGAAACCAUCUGGCUAGAGUCCGGAAGAGGAGAGUGGAAUUCCUGGUGUAGCGGUCAAAUGCGCAGAUAUCAGGAAGAACACCCGUGGCGAAGGCGGCUCUCUGGGACGGUACUGACGCUGAGACGCGAAAGCGUGGGGAGCGAACAGG